This 403-nucleotide ribosomal RNA is filed under the name uncultured bacterium. Its description in RNAcentral is "bacterial SSU rRNA". It matches the Rfam family "Bacterial small subunit ribosomal RNA", at positions 355 to 775 of the family's 1533-position model. The record is from RNAcentral.
UAGGGAAUAUUGGUAAUGGGCGAAAGCCCGAACCAGCAACGCCGCGUGCGCGAUGAAGGCCUUCGGGUUGUAAAGCGCUUUUUAAGGGGAUGAGGAAGGACAGUACUCUUAGAAUAAGCCUCGGCUAACUACGUGCCAGCAGCCGCGGUAAAACGUAGGAGGCGAGCGUUAUCCGGAUUUACUGGGCGUAAAGCGUGUGUAGGCGGUUUGAUAAGUUGGAUGUGAAAGCUCCCGGCUCAACUGGGAGAGGUCGUUCAAAACUAUCAGACUUGAGAGUGGUAGAGGGAGGUGGAAUUCCGCGUGUAGUGGUGAAAUGCGUAGAUAUGCGGAGGAACACCAGUGGCGAAAGCGGCCUCCUGGCCCAUUUCUGACGCUCAGACACGAAAGCUAAGGUAGCAAACGG